CAGCAGUGAGGAAUAUUGGUCAAUAGCCUAACGGCUGAACCAGCAACUUGGAGGAAUGUAUAGGUAAAGCUAAAUGUAUUUUUUAGUAGUAAUACAUAUUCGAUUUAUUCGUAUAAAGUUCUAGAUAGAAUUAUGAUAAUGACAUUGUCUAUCUAUAAGUCUUGGCCAAGCUACGUGCCAGCAGUCGCGGUAAGACGUAAAAGACUAGUGUUAUUCAUCUUUAAUAGGUUUAAAGCGUACCUAGACGGUAAUCAAGCCUUAAGGGGACUAAUUUAACUAGAGUUAGAUGUAAGGGUGCAUAAACGUACUGUUGUGUGUAGAGAUGAAAUUCUUUUAUACCAGAUUAUUGGCACGGGUUAAGGCGAAAGCAUCACCUUAUGUAAUAACUGACGUUGAGAGACGAAGGCUUUGUGUCGCGAACAGGAUUAGAUACCCUAGUAGUCUAAGCAGAAAAUGAUGAGUGUCAUAGGCUAAAUAUUAUUUGGUCUAUAAAUGAAAGUGUAAGCAUUCCACCUCAAGAGUAAUUUGGCAACAUUGGAAUUGAAAUCAUUAGACCGUUUCUGAAACCAGUAGUGAAGUAUGUUGUUUAAUUAGAUAAUCCACAAAGAACCUUACCACAAUUUGAAUA
Molecule: ribosomal RNA, 628 nt
Filed under: Enchylium conglomeratum
Lineage: Eukaryota; Fungi; Ascomycota; Lecanoromycetes; Peltigerales; Collemataceae
Description: SSU rRNA
Rfam family: Bacterial small subunit ribosomal RNA
Source: RNAcentral